This 217-nucleotide small nucleolar RNA is filed under the name Nicotiana attenuata. RNAcentral's name for it is "snoRNA Plant_U3". It matches the Rfam family "Plant small nucleolar RNA U3". From Rfam's summary of the family: Small nucleolar RNAs (snoRNAs) are involved in the processing and modification of rRNA in the nucleolus. There are two main classes of snoRNAs: the box C/D class, and the box H/ACA class. The record is from Rfam by way of RNAcentral. Lineage: Eukaryota; Viridiplantae; Streptophyta; Magnoliopsida; Solanales; Solanaceae.
ACGACCUUACUUGAACAGGAUCUGUUCUAUAGGCUCGUACCACUGUAUCCUUGAGUUCUAAGGAGACAGAAAACCAAGUCUGGUUGAUGAGACAUGGCCAUUGGACCCCAGAGCGUGAUUAACAGCUCCCAUGGCCCUCGGGUUAUGGUGUCGUAGAUGAUCGUUCUCAGCCCCUAACCAUGGGUGCUGGGAUGGUCUAAUGGCUGUCUGACAGACU